UUUCCGUAGGUGAACCUGCGGAAGGAUCAUUACAAAUCCAAAUAUUUACGAUGUGAGUAGUGGAGGAGAAAUUCUCCACACACACUCUAUCAUCACAUUACCUAUUGACACUUGUAUAUUAAUUUACGAAUGAAGAAUACCUUUUAACAAUGGAUCUCUUGGCUCUU
RNAcentral lists this unclassified non-coding RNA (167 nucleotides) under plant metagenome. RNAcentral describes it as "partial contains small subunit ribosomal RNA, internal transcribed spacer 1, and 5.8S ribosomal RNA". The record is from RNAcentral.